GAUGAAUGCUGGCGGCGUGCUUAACACAUGCAAGUCGAGCGGCAGCGCGAGUAGUUUACUACUUGGCGGCGAGCGGCGGACGGCUGAGUAACGCGUAGGAACGUGCCCCAAAGUGAGGAAUAACUGCCCGAAAGGGUGGCUAAUGCCGCAUAUGAUCUUCGGAUUAAAGGAUUUAUCCGCUUUGGGAGCGGCCUGCGUAUGAUUAGGUAGUUGGUGAGGUAAUGGCUCACCAAGCCGACGAUCAUUAGCUGGUCUGAGAGGAUGACCAGCCAGACUGGAACUGAGACACGGUCCAGACUCCUACGGGAGGCAGCAGUGAGGAAUCUUCCACAAUGGGCGAAAGCCUGAUGGAGCAACGCCGCGUGCAGGAUGAAGGCCUUCGGGUUGUAAACUGCUUUUAUAAGUGAAGAAUAUGACGGUAACUUAUGAAUAAGCACCGGCUAACUACGUGCCAGCAGCCGCCGCGG
RNAcentral lists this ribosomal RNA (467 nucleotides) under uncultured bacterium. RNAcentral describes it as "partial 16S ribosomal RNA". It matches the Rfam family "Bacterial small subunit ribosomal RNA", at positions 28 to 523 of the family's 1533-position model. The record is from RNAcentral.